Molecule: non-coding RNA, 72 nt
Organism: Perkinsus marinus ATCC 50983
Lineage: Eukaryota; Perkinsozoa; Perkinsida; Perkinsidae
Source: Rfam
GGUUUUAUGGUGUAACGGUUAGCACUCCAGACUCUGAGUCUGGCGAUCUGGGUUCAAAUCCCGGUAGAACCU